Molecule: non-coding RNA, 31 nt
Filed under: Mus musculus (house mouse)
Lineage: Eukaryota; Metazoa; Chordata; Mammalia; Rodentia; Muridae
Source: RNAcentral
UGAGCUGAGCAAGUCGAUUCACAGGAUCCCC